CAGCAGCCGCGGUAAUACGUAGGUGGCAAGCGUUGUCCGGAAUUAUUGGGCGUAAAGCGCAUGUAGGCGGUAAUUUAAGUCUGUCGUGAAACUGCGGGGCUCAGCCCCGUAUGGCGAUGGAAACUGGGUUACUUGAGUGCAGGAGAGGAAAGGGGAACUCCCAGUGUAGCGGUGAAAUGCGUAGAUAUUGGGAAGAACACCGGUGGCGAGGGCGCCUUUCUGGACUGUGUCUGACGCUGAGAUGCGAAAGCCAGGGUAGCGAACGGGAUUAGAUACCCCGGUAGUCCUGGCCGUAAACGAUGGGUACUAGGUGUGGGAGGUAUCGACCCCUUCCGUGCCGGAGCUAACGCAAUAAGUACCCCGCCUGGGGAGUACGGCCGCAAGGCUUAAACUCAAAGGAAUUGACGG
RNAcentral lists this ribosomal RNA (408 nucleotides) under uncultured rumen bacterium. RNAcentral describes it as "bacterial SSU rRNA". It matches the Rfam family "Bacterial small subunit ribosomal RNA", at positions 509 to 916 of the family's 1533-position model. The record is from RNAcentral.